GACGAACGCUGGCGGUGUGCCUAACACAUGCAAGUCGAACGGUAAGGCCCUUUCGGGGGUACACGAGUGGCGAACGGGUGAGUAACACGUGAGUAACCUGCCCUCAUCUCUGGGAUAACAGUCGGAAACGGUUGCUAAUACUGGAUAUGAGCUUGCAAGGCAUCUUGUGGGUUGGAAAGAUUUUUUUGGUUGGGGAUGGACUCGCGGCCUAUCAGCUUGUUGGUGAGGUAGUGGCUCACCAAGGCUUCGACGGGUAGCCGGCCUGAGAGGGCGACCGGCCACAUUGGGACUGGGAUACGGCCCAAACUCCUACGGGAGGCAGCAGUGGGGAAUAUUGCACAAUGGACGGAAGUCUGAUGCAGCAACGCCGCGUGCGGGAUGACGGCCUUCGGGUUGUAAACCGCUUUCAAUUGUGACGAAGCUUUUUGUGACGGUAGCAGUAGAAGAAGCACCGGCUAACUACGUG
Molecule: ribosomal RNA, 466 nt
Filed under: uncultured bacterium
Lineage: Bacteria
Description: partial 16S ribosomal RNA
Rfam family: Bacterial small subunit ribosomal RNA
Source: RNAcentral